RNAcentral lists this ribosomal RNA (464 nucleotides) under uncultured bacterium. Its description in RNAcentral is "bacterial SSU rRNA". It matches the Rfam family "Bacterial small subunit ribosomal RNA", at positions 28 to 507 of the family's 1533-position model. The record is from RNAcentral.
GACGAACGCUGGCGGCGCGCCUAACACAUGCAAGUCGAACGAGUCGGAACCCCGUUCGGGGGUGAAGCUAGUGGCGGACGGGUGAGUAACACGUGAGGAACCUGCCUUUCAGAGUGGGAUACCGUUUGGAAACGAACGUUAAUACCGCAUAACGUACAAUUGUCGCAUGGCGAACGUACCAAAGAUUUAUCGCUGAGAGAUGGCCUUGCGUCUGAUUAGAUAGUUGGUGAGGUAACGGCCCACCAAGUCUGCGAUCAGUAGCCGGACUGAGAGGUUGAUCGGCCACAUUGGGACUGAGACACGGCCCAGACUCCUACGGGAGGCAGCAGUGGGGGAUAUUGCACAAUGGGCGAAAGCCUGAUGCAGCGACGCCGCGUGAGGGAAGACGGUUUUCGGAUUGUAAAGUUCUAUCAGCAGGGAAGAUAAUGACGGUACCUGACUAAGAAGCACCGGCUAAAUACGUG